Molecule: small nuclear RNA, 159 nt
Organism: Colletotrichum gloeosporioides Cg-14
Lineage: Eukaryota; Fungi; Ascomycota; Sordariomycetes; Glomerellales; Glomerellaceae
Source: Rfam
GCCUUCGGGCAUUUGGUCAAUUUGAAACGAUACAGAGAAGAUGUAAGCAGUCCCAGAGGUCCCACGUUCGAGUCUGGGUGCAGUCACUAACAAACUCACAGUAGCAUGGCCCCUGCACUAAGGAUGACACGCUCAAUCAAAGAGAAGCUACCAAUUUUU